UUUUUCAGUAGUUUAAGACAUGCAAAUCGUUGUUUCCAAAGUCCUUAAUUAAUUAAUAUUUUUAAUAUUAAUGGGAUCCGGGGAUAAGGUGUAGAGGUGAGUAUGUUAAAUAAGAUACCCUAUAGUCUUCUUAGCUAGGAGAUACAAAGUAAAGGAAAAUUUCUGCUAUAGGAUUCUAUUUAAUUUGAUUAGGUAGUUGAUAGGGUAACGGCCUACCAAGCCAACGAUCAAAAGUCAAGUUUGAAAGAACCUCUGGCCACAUUGGGGAUGAAAUCUCCCAAGUAGUAAUAACACUACCAGCAGUCGAGAAUAUUAGUCAAUGCUCGUAAGAGUGAACUAGCUAACUGAAAUCAUAGAAUUUUUUCAAAUUCAUGAUGUCGUAAGGGAAAAUAAUGAUAAUACCUUACUAUGAGUGUCGUCCAAAUCUGGUGCCAGAAGACUCGGUAAGACCAGAGACGCAAACGUUAAUCAUCAUAAACAGGCGUAAAGGGUUUGUAGGCAGCUUUUAUAGGAUUCUUUUUAAAGAUAAUCUAAAUUGAAAGCUAGAAUCAAAAAGAGGUUAUAGUGUAUAACGCCUAGAGGAGGGCUGAUAUCCGUAGAUCCUAGGCAGAAUACUCAGGGCGAAGGCCACUUUCCACUAAUGAUUGACGCUGAGAAACGAAGGUUAGGGUAGGAAAUAGGAU
RNAcentral lists this ribosomal RNA (683 nucleotides) under Ganoderma resinaceum. RNAcentral describes it as "partial small subunit ribosomal RNA". It matches the Rfam family "Bacterial small subunit ribosomal RNA", at positions 36 to 778 of the family's 1533-position model. Lineage: Eukaryota; Fungi; Basidiomycota; Agaricomycetes; Polyporales; Polyporaceae. The record is from RNAcentral.